Molecule: ribosomal RNA, 501 nt
Filed under: uncultured bacterium
Lineage: Bacteria
Description: bacterial SSU rRNA
Rfam family: Bacterial small subunit ribosomal RNA
Source: RNAcentral
AUUGAACGCUGGCGGCAUGCCUUACACAUGCAAGUCGAACGGCAGCACGGGAGCAAUCCUGGUGGCGAGUGGCGAACGGGUGAGUAAUAUAUCGGAACGUGCCCAGUAGUGGGGGAUAGCCCGGCGAAAGCCGGAUUAAUACCGCAUGAGACCUGAGGGUGAAAGCGGGGGAUCGCAAGACCUCGCGCUAUUGGAGCGGCCGAUAUCAGAUUAGGUAGUUGGUGGGGUAAAGGCCCACCAAGCCAACGAUCUGUAGCUGGUCUGAGAGGACGACCAGCCACACUGGGACUGAGACACGGCCCAGACUCCUACGGGAGGCAGCAGUGGGGAAUUUUGGACAAUGGGCGCAAGCCUGAUCCAGCAAUGCCGCGUGCAGGACGAAGGCCUUCGGGUUGUAAACUGCUUUGUACGGUAGCGAAAAGGACUCUCUCUAAUACAGGGGCGUCAUGACGGUACCGUAAGAAUAAGCACCGGCUAACUACGUGCCAGCAGCCGCGGUAA